This 376-nucleotide ribosomal RNA is filed under the name uncultured organism. RNAcentral's name for it is "partial 16S ribosomal RNA". It matches the Rfam family "Bacterial small subunit ribosomal RNA", at positions 527 to 896 of the family's 1533-position model. The record is from RNAcentral.
GUAGGGUGCAAGCGUUAUCCGGAAUCAUUGGGCGUAAAGAGCUCGUAGGCGGUUCAGCAAGUCGGCUGUGAAAUCCCGAGGCUUAACCUCGGAACUGCAGUCGAUACUGCUGUGACUAGAGUCCGGUAGAGGAGAAUGGAAUUCCCGGUGUAGCGGUGAAAUGCGCAGAUAUCGGGAGGAACACCAGUAGCGAAGGCGGUUCUCUGGGCCGGUACUGACGCUGAGGAGCGAAAGCGUGGGGGUAGCAAACAGGAUUAGAUACCCUGGUAGUCCACGCCGUAAACGUUGGACACUAGGUGUGGCGUUCCGACCAACGGGUGCCGUGCCGAAGCUAACGCAUUAAGUGUCCCCGCCUGGUAGUACGGCCGCAAGGCUA